RNAcentral lists this small nuclear RNA (22 nucleotides) under Arabidopsis thaliana (thale cress). Its description in RNAcentral is "snRNA_06472". The record is from RNAcentral. Lineage: Eukaryota; Viridiplantae; Streptophyta; Magnoliopsida; Brassicales; Brassicaceae.
CUGGAGUGAUUACGGGUUUCGA